Molecule: non-coding RNA, 181 nt
Filed under: Magnetococcales bacterium
Lineage: Bacteria; Pseudomonadati; Pseudomonadota; Magnetococcia; Magnetococcales
Description: 6S RNA
Rfam family: 6S / SsrS RNA
About the family: E. coli 6S RNA was the first non coding RNA to be sequenced, but its function was unknown until recently.
Source: RNAcentral
ACUCCCCUGCGGUGUUCGUGAGAAAUGCAUUCCUCCUGAGCCGAUAAUUCAUGAGCCCAGGAAUCCUGCCCUGAUCGUGGAGUGCGAGCCCGCUUGCGGGAUUGCCAGAAGCGAUUAUCAGGAGUCCACUUUACUAAAAGGGUUCAGAGGACGCAAAAUCCACGGCACAGGCGGGGGAUCU